AUUGAACGCUGGCGGCAGGCCUAACACAUGCAAGUCGAGCGGAUGAAGGGAGCUUGCUCCUGGAUUCAGCGGCGGACGGGUGAGUAAUGCCUAGGAAUCUGCCUGGUAGUGGGGGAUAACGUCCGGAAACGGGCGCUAAUACCGCAUACGUCCUGAGGGAGAAAGUGGGGGAUCUUCGGACCUCACGCUAUCAGAUGAGCCUAGGUCGGAUUAGCUAGUUGGUGGGGUAAAGGCCUACCAAGGCGACGAUCCGUAACUGGUCUGAGAGGAUGAUCAGUCACACUGGAGCGGAGACACGGACCAGACUACUACGGGAGGCAGCAGUGGGGAAUAGUGGACAAUAGGCGGAAGCCUGAUCCAGCCAUGCCGCGUGUGUGAAGAAGGUCUUCGGAGUGUAAAGCACUUUAAGUUGGGGGGAAGGGCAGUAAGUUAAUACCUUGCUGUUUUGACGUUACCAACAGAAUAAGCACCGGCUAACUUCGUG
Molecule: ribosomal RNA, 484 nt
Filed under: uncultured bacterium
Lineage: Bacteria
Description: partial 16S ribosomal RNA
Rfam family: Bacterial small subunit ribosomal RNA
Source: RNAcentral